This 253-nucleotide ribosomal RNA is filed under the name uncultured bacterium. RNAcentral's name for it is "partial 16S ribosomal RNA". It matches the Rfam family "Bacterial small subunit ribosomal RNA", at positions 524 to 776 of the family's 1533-position model. The record is from RNAcentral.
UACGUAGGGUGCAAGCGUUAAUCGGAAUUACUGGGCGUAAAGGGCGCGUAGGCGGGUCGUUUAGUUAGAGGUGAAAGCCCAGGGCUCAACCCUGGAAUUGCCUUUAAUACUGGCGGCCUUGAGUAUGGCAGAGGUGUGUGGAACUCCGAGUGUAGAGGUGAAAUUCGUAGAUAUUCGGAAGAACACCAGUGGCGAAGGCGGCUCACUGGCCCGGAACUGACGCUGAUGUACGAAAGCGUGGGGAGCAAACAGG